RNAcentral lists this ribosomal RNA (119 nucleotides) under Castor canadensis (American beaver). Lineage: Eukaryota; Metazoa; Chordata; Mammalia; Rodentia; Castoridae. The record is from RNAcentral.
GUGUAUGGCCAUACUACCCUGAAUGCCUCAAUCUCAUGUGAUCUCAGAAGUUAAGCAGGGUUGGGCAUGGUUAGCACUUGGAUUGGGAGACCACCUUAGAACACUAGGUUCUGUAGAUU